AGGGGGAGCCCAUCCUCCUCUGGCCAGCACUGUAAACUGUGAGCUAUUUUUAAAUCAGGUAGUCUAGGAAUUCUAGUUUAUAAAGAAUAUUUAAUGGCCAGCAAUUAGGAAAUGAAUAAAUACUAUUUCUCACUGAAAUCUAUAUAAAGUUAACUGCAGACACAUCUCCUAGGUCAGUGGUGGCCAAUCUUAUUCAGAAAGGGCCAGUGUGGGUGUAGGGUUUCAUUCCAAUCAAGCAAAGGCCAUGCCAAGAUCAACAGGUGGAAUUAGGUGUAGCUCCUGCUUGAUUGGAAUGAAAACCUGCACCCAGCAGGUUCCUGCAGCUUGUGGUAUCCUAGGUGAAGGAGUAUAGUAAGAAGGGUGCUGGUUUGUACCAGACAAACUACUGAUGUAUGAGGGUGGAGUGGGAGUUCUUGGGCCUCAGGAUACCAACUGGAGAAGGGGGUUUAUUGCAAGACUUGAAGAUUUGAACCUCAGAAUGAACCGAAUAGAAGCUUGUGGCACCUAGGAUGGCAGGGGUAGGAGAUUGUGGUCCCUAAGAUGGUAGACAUAAGAGCUUGUGGACCUUGGGAUGGACGGAAUAGGGGUUUGUGAACAUUAGGAGGUCAGGAAUAGAAGCUUGCAGCCCCUAGGAUGGCAGGGGGAGGACUAUUUGAACCUCAGAAUGGCACAGGUAGAAGCAUGUGAUCCCUGUAUGUGAUAGGAGCUUACAUGUGGUAAGAGCUUGUGGACUGUUGAAUGGCAGGGGUAUGAGCUUUCGGACCUUUGGAUGGCAGGGGUAGGAGCUUGUUGUCCCCAGCAUGGCAGGGAUAUGAGAUUGUGGAGCUCAGUAUGACAGAAGAAGCAGCCUGAGGUCCUAAGGAUGGUAGAGGUAUGUGCUUAUAGCCCUCGAUAUGGCAGGGGUAGGAGCUUGUGAACCCCAGGAUGGGAAGGGUAGGAGUGUGUGGAUGGCAAGAUUAGAAGCCUGUGUGAAGAUUAGACUCAGUGUGGCAGAAGUAAGAGCGUAAGGGCCU
Molecule: long non-coding RNA, 1013 nt
Organism: Ictalurus punctatus (channel catfish)
Lineage: Eukaryota; Metazoa; Chordata; Actinopteri; Siluriformes; Ictaluridae
Source: Ensembl